GACGAACGCUUGCGGCGUGCCUAAGAAAUGCAAGUCGAGCGAGGUUUAGGCUUCGGCCGACGACCUAGCGGCGAACGGUCGCGUAACACGUAAGCAACCUGCCCUAAAGUUGGGGAUAGCCCGCCGAAAGGCGGAUUAAUACCGAAUGUGGAUAUGUAUUCGCAUGUAUAUAUAUCUGAAGCAGCGAUGCGCUUUAGGAUGGGCUUGCGGCCUAUCAGUUAGUUGGUGUGGGUAACGGCCUACCAAGACGACGACGGGUAGCUGGUCUGAGAGGAUGGUCAGCCGGAUUGGGACUGAGACACGGCCCAGACUCCUACGGGGGGCAGCAAUUAGGAAUCUUGCGCAAUGGGCGAAAAGCCUGACGCAGCGACGCCGCGUGACUGAUGAAGUCUUUCGAGAUGUAAAGGUCUUUUGUUGGGGUACGAAGGAAGUGACGGUACCCGACGAAUAAGCCCCGGCUAACUACGUG
This 469-nucleotide ribosomal RNA is filed under the name uncultured bacterium. RNAcentral's name for it is "bacterial SSU rRNA". It matches the Rfam family "Bacterial small subunit ribosomal RNA", at positions 28 to 507 of the family's 1533-position model. The record is from RNAcentral.